GGUGACAUGAGGGCUAUCCUGAUAUGAAUAAUAAUAUGGCUAUGUCCUCUCAUUCGUACAUCUAAAAAAGAGAGCAGUCUCAUCUAGCUAGGUCAUGGCUGUUGUCACGGCAACUUUUGCACCAGUGGAGACAUAUGUAGUGUCCCUCUGCCAUCAUGGUCCAGACAUUAUAUAAAACAGAUGUCAUUGACUAAGUACUAUUCAGUCAAUUUCUAUUUUGCAGGUGAUGGCAGCUCGGAAGCAUGCAGACAAUGUUGGUUG
Molecule: long non-coding RNA, 261 nt
Filed under: Eucalyptus grandis
Lineage: Eukaryota; Viridiplantae; Streptophyta; Magnoliopsida; Myrtales; Myrtaceae
Description: long non-coding RNA (EGRA_LNC004868)
Source: RNAcentral